AGGAUCAUUAAAGAAAUUUAAUAAUUUUGAUAUUGGAUUUUUUUGUUUUGGCAAGAGCGUGAGAGCUUUUACUGGGCAAGAAGACAAGAGAUGGAGAGUCCAGCCGGGCCUGCGCUUAAGUGCGCGGUCUUGCUAGGCUUGCAAAUUUCUUUCUUGCUAUUCCAAACAGUGAGACUUCUCUGUUUUUGUUAUAGGACAAUUAAAACCGUUUCAAUACAACACACUGUGGAGUUUUUAUACUUUUGCAACUUUUUCUUUGGGCUUCGAGCAAUCGAGCCCAGAGGUAACAAACACAAACAAUUUUAUUUAUUCAUUAAAUUUUUGUCAAAAACAAGAAUUUUCGUAACUGGAAAUUUUAAAAAUAAUUAAAAACUUUCAACAACGGAUCUCUUGGUUCUCGCAUCGAUGAAGAACGCAGCGAAAUGCGAUACGUAAUGUGAAUUGCAGAAUUCCGUGAAUCAUCGAAUCUUUGAACGCACAUUGCGCCCCUUGGUAUUCCAGGGGGCAUGCCUGUUUGAGCGUCAUUUCCUUCUCAAACAUUCUGUUUGGUAGUGAGUGAUACUCUCUGGAGUUAACUUGAAAUUGCUGGCCUUUUCAUUGGAUGUUUUUUUUCCAAAGAGAGGUUUCUCUGCGUGCUUGAGGUAUAAUGCAAGUACGGUCGUUUUAGGUUUUACCAACUGCGGCUAAUCUUUUUUGUACUGAGCGUAUUGAAACGUUAUCGAUAAGAAGAGAGCGUCUAGGCGAACAAUGUUCUUAAAGUUUGACCUCAAAUCAGGUAGGAGUACCCGCUGAACUUAAGCAUAUCANUAAGCGGAGGAAAAGAAACCAACCGGGAUUGCCUUAAUAACGGCGAGUGAA
RNAcentral lists this ribosomal RNA (858 nucleotides) under Saccharomyces uvarum. Its description in RNAcentral is "eukaryotic LSU rRNA". The stretch from base 371 to 524 matches the Rfam family "5.8S ribosomal RNA". Lineage: Eukaryota; Fungi; Ascomycota; Saccharomycetes; Saccharomycetales; Saccharomycetaceae. The record is from RNAcentral.